Molecule: ribosomal RNA, 433 nt
Filed under: uncultured bacterium
Lineage: Bacteria
Description: partial 16S ribosomal RNA
Rfam family: Bacterial small subunit ribosomal RNA
Source: RNAcentral
AACGAACGCUGGCGGCAUGCCUAACACAUGCAAGUCGAACGAGACCUUCGGGUCUAGUGGCGCACGGGUGCGUAACGCGUGGGAACCUGCCCUUAGGUUCGGAAUAACUCCCCGAAAGGGGUGCUAAUACCGGAUAAUGUCUUCGGACCAAAGAUUUAUCGCCUUUGGAUGGGCCCGCGUUGGAUUAGCUAGUUGGUAGGGUAAAAGCCUACCAAGGCGACGAUCCAUAGCUGGUCUGAGAGGAUGAUCAGCCACACUGGGACUGAGACACGGCCCAGACUCCUACGGAAGGCAGCAGUGGGGAGUAUAAGACAAUGGACGAAGGCCUGAUCCAGCAAUGCCGCGUGAGUGAUGAAGGCCUUAGUGUUGUAAAGCUCUUUUACCCGGGAUGAUAAUGACAGUACCGGGAGAAUAAGCUCCGGCUAACUCCGUG